Molecule: ribosomal RNA, 2127 nt
Filed under: Triticum aestivum (bread wheat)
Lineage: Eukaryota; Viridiplantae; Streptophyta; Magnoliopsida; Poales; Poaceae
Description: partial small subunit ribosomal RNA
Source: RNAcentral
AUGGCCCUCGGGAAUCCUGAGCACCCUGGACGGACACGAGGCACGCCAGGCUCCGUUCCGUGGAAGGCUGGUUUUCCGGACGCGGGCGGUUACAAAACCCAGGAGAGGAGGAAAAAAGUGGAGCAUAUCCAAAUUCAGCGUCUGCACGAAAGGGUUCAAGUGCUAGAGGAACGAGACAACAAUAGAGAUGCCGAAACUGCCCCCGAAGCUACACCGCCAUCUCAGCGUAGAAGCAGCGUGGCUUCCACCGAGCUGACUCAGCUGGAGCAUGCGGCUACUCCUAGCUACCCCGUGGAUGCUAUCACGGAGUCUCAACAUUGCCACCUUAUGGCGGAAUGGCAGAACUUGAAAGUCAAGGCGGCUGUUGGCUCUGUUUUACCUACUGAACCCGGCGCAACCUACCACUGUCGGCCGAUUCCUGAAGGAUAUGCUAGGGUGAUGGUGGAUGAAAUAACGGAGGGAUUUGAGGACCUCCAGCUUGACCACCCUACCGGUGAAGGGGAGACUCGGCUGGGUUUAGCUCUGAAGACUCCAUGCCUAUGGCGGAAGGAGCUCAUCAAGCUUCCGAACUGGACGGCUCCGGCGAGUAAGGGCACUCCGCCUCCUCCUCCGGCGAGUGAUCAGGGCACUCAGCCUCCUUCUCCGGCGCGUGGCGGCACUCCGCCUCCUUCUCCGCCAGCGCCGGCGUGCCAGAGCAGCCAGCCUCCUCCUUCUCUGCCUCGUCAGCAAGGGCGGAAGAGACCCGCCGCUGCGGCUGCUCCGGCGCGUCGUAGUCCUUCUCCUCCGCCUCGUAAGCAAGGAAAGAAGACAGCCGCAGCCGCUCCGUCUGCUCUGCCGGCGUCUAGCAGUACAGCUGCCAGAGGCGGGAGGCAAUACAGAUUCGGUCCUUCUCUGAAGACUCCAGAGAAGUUGCCAUAUGAGAGGACCGAGGAGGAGAACGCGAAGAUCGUGCGAGCCGAAGUGAAGAACUUCUUUGAAGGGGUCAAAGCAAAGAAACAUCCACCUCCGGAGGAGAAGGUAGAUCCGGUGAAAACAAAGCGCACUCUGGCUGCCCUGACAAAACCACCAAAGUCUCCGCCAAAAGGCAACUAUGAGCGCGUUCUUGCAAAGGCAUAUGCCGAAGCGGAGCGGUCGGGAAGUACUGUCAGUGAUAAAAGGAUGAAAGAACGACGAGCUGGGAAAAAAAUUGCCCAGCUCGGCGAACAAGAGAACCAAUCGUGCCCCCCGCUCAAGGUGUCAAAAGACAUCGUCGCUAAUGAUCCGGGUAUGGUGCCCGGUUAUACCGAUCUUGGAGAUUACCUGCCCGACGAUGUACAUUAUGAAAUCAUGGAGGUGGACGAACACAAAUACCAUUACGGGAAGCCUCUCGUCAAAGAUGUCAAAUCUCUAAGCACGAUGAUGCGAAGACUACAUGAUUGGUACAUGAAAACCUGCAGAGAGUCUGAUGGGAUGAGUACUUUAACGCUGAGAGUGAAAUCGGAGCAUGACCUCGUUGGAAUUGAACUGCUGAAUGUUCCAUUUGAGGAUUUCUUCCAGUUUUACAAUCUAAAGUCCCUCGAUAAAACAACGAUCACUUGCUACUGUCUAUUGAAGAUCGCCGAAUUGAAGAAAAGACAAAUCGGUGAUAUUCGGUUCAUUAACACAAAUCUCAUAGAUGAUUAUCAGGUUAAAUUUCAUGCCAAAGAUAUCGAGGCCAACUUGCUACAAUCGUUGGUAAUAAAUCAAAACAAAGAUAUAAUACUCUUUCCUUACAACUUCAAUUUCCACUAUAUUCUCCUAGAGAUUAAGCUUGAGCCGGGAGUAGUAACCGUCUUAGACUUGAGACGAAAAGAUCCCCAGGACUAUGCGAACAUGACUCAAAUGCUCCAGAAGGUUUGGAGAAAAUUCACCUCAAAAGCCCCGGGACUGCCGAACCAGCUGCAAUUUAGACACCCGAAAUGGUUGUGGCAGCAACCCGGGAAUAAUUACUGUGGAUACUACAUUUGCGAGUCCAUCCGCUACCAUACCUGUGAGCGGGGCUACACUGAAGAACAAUAUGAAAUUUUUCGGAAGCGGGAUCAACUCCUAGCACCAGAUCAUAUGCGAGGAAUUCAAGAGGAAUUGGCGGCAUUCUUCCUUACCACGUGA